GCUGCUUCUCUCUCUUCCCUCUCACUUUUCACCAACAAGAGCCAGAACGAGCCAGAGAACAACAUGUCCUUCACCCUCCGCCUCGCACCCCUCGCCCGUCGUACCUUCACCUCCGGCAUGGCCACCUUCGCCGCUCGCAGCGGAUGUGGCUGCUCCUCGUGCUCGAACUGCGAUUGCGGCUCGAACUGCAACUGCUCGGGCUGCCACUGAGCGCGCAACUAUCCCGUUCGUUCCGCCACACGCAAUGUAGCGGAAGUCAAGUCCUCGCCGAACGUGAAAUGAAGUUAUCUGCACA
This 295-nucleotide unclassified non-coding RNA is filed under the name Rhodotorula toruloides. Lineage: Eukaryota; Fungi; Basidiomycota; Microbotryomycetes; Sporidiobolales; Sporidiobolaceae. The record is from RNAcentral.